CUUGAAGUCGGCAGGGAUCGCAUUAUCGACAACACGGUAGCCACCACCCUUUGCAAGAAAGCGGAAGGCGAUAGGUCCCUCGAUCGGCUCCUUGCUGUCAAGGGUAAAAGUCUUGGGUUCUGACUCCUUGAGGUCGUCCGUGAAAUCCGUGGCUCCCUUGGGCUUGACCGACACCUCGGAGAUGGCGACGUUGGUGAUGAGGGAUAGUUUGGUGGAGGUGGAGUCCUUACCGACCUCGAUGGUGAGCGUAGUGCCGCAUGAGCCAAUGGCAAACAGCGCCGUCAAUGCCACCGCCGCGAGUAGGAAGCAGAAGGAGGAUGAGGAGGCCAUUGGUGAGCUAGCAAGUUGGCAGAACCUUGUUGUUUAUUUCUUGAUCGAUGGAGAGGGAUAAAUGGGUGUGGUUGAUGUGUGUGGCGAUCGAUUUUGUAGCUGGCGGCUGCGUAUUUAUGGUAGCUGAGGCAAGCAAACUAGGCAUGGACGUAUGGUGAGCCCCAUAGAUCGCUGGCUGUCUUGUUUAUCGACAGACACUUGUUCAAUUGCCACAAAUAGAUCUAGGCAUUCUCGAUUCUCUUGCUGUCUAUCUGAGGCAUGCAGAUUUCUUAGCAAGCACAGGCAUGCAACCCUCAAUAUUUUUAUUAUAUAGUAAUGCGGCACGAGUAAUUAUUCCCGUUGACACACCUAAACAAAUUUAGUAAUCCUUGUAUCCCAAAAUAUACAAGGCACACCCAUUUCAAAAUUCAAGUUUGUUUACUUUUUUUACCAACACUAGUCUAUAUAUAAUGCAAUCUAUACCUAGUCUAUCUAUCUAUAUCACUGUUAUUAUUAUACUAUAAAAGUGCAAAACGAUAACAAAAUACAACCCACCUAGCGGGGUCCCACCCAAUCAUUUUCUAGUCUUGUGGACGUGUUUUCAAAGUUUAGUAUUAGUGAGAUGAAAACUUCCACUCCGGCCUAACAGACUGGCCUGGAUUGAAAAAAAUAUCUUUAUAAUGUGUAUUCUAUUCUAAUUUUCUCCGACCGUGCCAAAGACUAUAACCUAAAACGGCGAUUUGAUAUAGUCGCGAAGCUCUCACAUGAGAUUGAAGUAUAUCAUCCUCAAGUCUAGCUAGUCCAGUAGCUUCUCUACUCUCCAACCUGCUUAAAAUAUCCGAUUGCAGGGAUAUAAAUAGUCCUAAGCGAGCCAACAUGCUUCUCCAGUGUUCAUACUUCAUGAGAACACCGGAUGAUAUGAUGAAACAAAUGACGAUACAUGAUUAUCCUAUGAAUACAACUGGAUAUUGCACCAACGAAAAAUGGUUACAUUUUUUUUUCUAAAUAUCGGAUCGUAUGGUGGCACAAAAAAUGGUCACGAACGGAUCAUCAUGUGAUCUCACAAUAUUUUGAUUUACUAGAUUUUGCAAAAGUACUUGGUCCAAUGAAUUAAAAUGACAAUAUAAACACGUGAACAUUCGAGUGUGCGCACACUUUGAUGUUUUGGUAUUUUCCCAAAUCUUUCUCCUUCUGACUUAGUUUUAAUGGUCUUUACUUGUUUGAAAGUUUGUAAAAAUAUUUACAACUUGAACCUAACAACAUAAAGUUUUUAUAUACUCUAAAUCUAAAUUCAUAAGACUUUUUAUCUUGGCUUUAGUAUCUUUGAGUGAUCUAAGAAAAGUCAUCGAACGCAUCUUAGAAUAUGCAUAUGUUAGUCCGAGUGAUUGGGUUACCAUUUCAAUCACUGAAACCAUUAAGGGUUGUGGCUAGGUCCAUGUAUCUAUAGUGAUUAUCAGGGAUGGUGAUAUAAGAUGCCUACCCUAUAAAUAGUAACAUUUAAUUACAUAGGUGGGCAUUGUCAUUCGUUAUGCUCUCCUUACGAUGAUUUUGCACAAGCGGCGACUUGGUCAUUCUUCCUUUAUAAUUAAAAAAUGUCUAUACCGAUUGAUCCUUUUUACAGUAGCUUUGUAUUAUCUUAAAUAAAAAUAGUUACAAUUAGAGAAGUAUAUAUGAAUGUUAGGAAACAACAAGGAACAUGCAACGUGCAUUGCAUAAAAACUAGCCCCUAGCCAACAUAAAACUAUAGUCAAAUUUUACUAAAACAAAUAAAAUUCAAGAUUCCAAAACUUGCCAUCUUUAUACGGAAUAUUCUAGGUCCUCUUUUUUUGCUGGUUCGAUUUUAUUUUGGCAUUUUAGAAUCCUAGUCGCUUAUUGGAACACACUCCUUUUUUUGUGAGACCCAGUUACAGACGCUCACAAACAUGAGCGUGUACUCACUCCUAUGAACGCACGCACGCACACCAUACCCCUAUAAGCACCUCCGAAGAACUGAGUUGGACUGGCAAAUCUCGAGAUUGAUGAAGUCACCAUAGGCACCUUGCUAUGGACAGACACGUCGCCUACCACUGAAAGUAUAGCGCCGUUAAAUCAUAGAAUAAAUUUAGUAAAAUGUGUGCACCCAAGUCAAGUCAUGGACUUGAAUCCGGGUGGGCAGGUUCCACCACAAGGAACUCGACCGGCUAACCUAUGAUCAGUUUUCUCGGAACACACCCCUUGACAAUGCAACAUAGUGAUGGUAUAUGAGAACACCGCUUCAUAAAGUUAAAUUAUGUAUUAGUCGUUUGUGAUAAUAGUUUCAUGUCAUGGUUUGGUCCAUUUAGCAAUUAGUGUUAAAAAACAUCACGUGUAAAUUGAAAUUCCAUAGCAUUUCUUCCAUGCUACACAAGGUAAACAUGCUUCAUCGAUUCUUACAUACAUAUAUUUAUUAGAAGUUUGGAAAACCAAAGUACACGGCCACUAUUUUACCACACAUAAACAAUAUUGUAAAGUGUGUGCAUAUAGCUCCAGUGCUCCACAACAACAUGUGGGAGAACAUAGUAUAAUUUAUUUUGUGGUAGCCUACCUCUAAAUAAUCAUAGAAAAAAAAAUUUGGCAUGGUCAUUCUGUACCCUUGGUCUCUGUAGAAAAUUUAUUUAGAGGUCAGUAUAAUCUCUACGCGGCAGAUGACCACAUGUGUCCAUUGCUUAGACUUGUUCGGUGGUCUUGUAAACCGAGCCGGCCUUGAAGUCAGCAGGGAUCGCAUUAUCGACAACACGGUAGCCACCACCCUUCGCAAGGAAGCGGAAGGCGAUAGGUCCCUCAAUCGGCUCCUUGCUGUCGAGCGUAAAAGUCUUAGGCUCUGACUCCUUGAGGUCGUCCGUGAAAUCCGUGGCUCCCUUGGGCUUGACCGACACCUCGGAGAUGGCGACGUUGGUGAUAAGGGAUA
RNAcentral lists this long non-coding RNA (3235 nucleotides) under Sorghum bicolor (sorghum). Its description in RNAcentral is "long non-coding RNA (SBIC_LNC013486)". The record is from RNAcentral. Lineage: Eukaryota; Viridiplantae; Streptophyta; Magnoliopsida; Poales; Poaceae.